This 465-nucleotide ribosomal RNA is filed under the name uncultured bacterium. RNAcentral describes it as "partial 16S ribosomal RNA". It matches the Rfam family "Bacterial small subunit ribosomal RNA", at positions 28 to 507 of the family's 1533-position model. The record is from RNAcentral.
GACGAACGCUGGCGGCGUGCUUAACACAUGCGAGUCGUACGGUAAGGCCCUUUCGGGGGUACACGAGUGGCGAACGGGUGAGUAACACGUGAGUAACCUGCCCACAACUUUGGGAUAACGCUAGGAAACUGGUGCUAAUACUGGAUAUGUGCUCCUGCUGCAUGGUGGGGGUUGGAAAGCUCCGGCGGUUGUGGAUGGACUCGCGGCCUAUCAGCUUGUUGGUGGGGUAGUGGCCUACCAAGGCGGCUACGGGUAGCCGGCCUGAGAGGGUGACCGGCCACAUUGGGACUGAGAUACGGCACAGACUCCGACGGGAGGCAGCAGUGGGGAAUAUUGCACAAGGGGCGCAAGCCUGAUGCAGCAACGCCGCGUGCGGGAUGACGGCCUUCGGGUUGUAAACCGCUUUCAGCAGGGACGAAGCUUUUUGUGACGGUACCUGCAGAAGAAGCACCGGCUAACUACGUG